Molecule: small RNA, 52 nt
Rfam family: mcrA RNA
About the family: Listeria (Firmicutes). Nearby to self-splicing intron genes
Source: Rfam
AGCAUUGACGAAUGCUACCGUAGAAGUCCGCCUGGUUUUAUAACUACGGAUA